GGGGUAGACACUGUUAUUUCCAUUCACAGAUAACGAAGUGAGGCUCGGAGGGAGGGGACUUGCCCAAAGCCACAAGGAUGAAAGGACUUUUCCAGUUGCUACCAGACUACGCGCUGUCGCCUGAUGGUUAAGAACUGAAGCUUUAGCCGUGCGCGGUGGCUCACGCCUGUAAUCCCAGCACUUUAGGAGGCAGAGGCGGGUGGAUCACCUGAGGUCAGGAGUUCGAGACCAGCUUGACCAACAAGCUGGCGUAUCCGAAUGGGCUGAGCUACCGGAUUAAGAGGGACACCCCAAAGCCCCCAUUGCUGGGUUAUUGCUCCAGAGCCAAUGUCCUUGGGCAAAGGAAGAUAUGCCCUUUGUCUACACUGCACUGCUGGUCUGUAAACUCCUAGACGGCCAGCUGGUGGUUCACAAACCAGGACUCCUUGCUCUGGCCCUACUCCUACCUACCAGAAUGACCGUGAACCCUUCCCCACUCACUCCUACAACCAGGUUUCCAUCUCCUCUCUCAGCUUAGGUUUCCCUAACUGUAAAAUAAAAGGGUUGGACUAGGUUAAGGACUUCCAGCUGUUUCUCUCUCCCACACUCUAAGUUUCCUUAGGAAUGCUUCAGAAAACAGCAGGGGUUUGGGCAAGGAUGCCGUUUGAGCCCAGAGCAACUCCAAUUUCAUAGGUACAUAAAUUUAUGUGAAAGUA
Pongo pygmaeus (Bornean orangutan) is the source of this 695-nucleotide long non-coding RNA. RefSeq lists it as uncharacterized. The record is from RefSeq and is a predicted model, not a curated record. NCBI's taxonomy places the organism in Eukaryota, Metazoa, Chordata, Mammalia, Primates, Hominidae. The transcript is spliced from 3 exons.